This 5441-nucleotide long non-coding RNA is filed under the name Sus scrofa (pig). RNAcentral describes it as "lncRNA (ENSSSCG00000054530.1)". Lineage: Eukaryota; Metazoa; Chordata; Mammalia; Artiodactyla; Suidae. The record is from RNAcentral.
UGGCAUAUGGAGGUUCCCAGGCUAGGGGUCAAAUCGGAGCUACAGUUGCUGGCCUAUACCACAGCCACAGCAAUGCCAGAUCCAAGCCACAUUUGUGACCUACACCACAGCUCAUGGCAACACUGGAUCCUUAACCCACUGAGCGAGGCCAGGGAUUGAACCCACAACCUCGUGGUUCCUAGUUGGAUUCGUUUCCACUGUGUCACGACGGAAACUCUGCGGUGUCACUUAUUUUAAUGACACAUUUGUUAUAACCCAGUAUAUCCCAAAUACUCAACGUAAAGAAUUAUGAAGAUACUUUACCCUUUUUCAUGUAUAAAAUCUUUGUGUACUACAAAGUCAUUUUACACUUAGAGCCCAUCUUAAUUCAGACCCACCACGUUUCAAGUGCUUAGUAUGGCUAGUGGCCAUAUCUGUAUUUGGACAGUGCAGUUCUAGACUAUGGAAUCUGUAUAAAUUUGUCUUACACCUUAGGUCUUUUUUUUUUUUCUUUUUAAGUGUGGAAGUUCCCAGGCCAGGGAUUGAACCCAUGCCAGAGCAGUGACAACAAUGUGUCCUUAACCUGCUGAGCCACCGGGGAACUCCCUGAAGUACAUUCUCUUUGCUUAUCAGAUGAAGGAUCUGAAUCUUCCAUUGGCCCAACUAACCCUGCGCAUGUGGGAUUCCAGAGCAGAUCUGUGGACUAACAGCCCUUUAAAGCUGUUUCCAGCACAGAGCCCAUCCCCCUAAGGUCUUCUGAAAGCCGGCCUAGUCUUGGAGAGACCACAUCCAUGGUUGGUUGUUGUUUUGCCAACUAUAAGUAGCCAGUUUUCCCAAGUUGUCCUGAAGCAUCUUCCUUAGUAAUCAUGUGUAUAAUGAUUGAGUUCAAUAAGUAUUCCCAAAGACUUGCUCUACAUUUGGGCAAUAUCUUGAACUUCAUACACCUGCCUUAUAGUUUUACCACGAUGGUCCUAAUCUGCUAAAGGAGAACAACUUUGAACCAUCCUGUAGUAAUUCAUAACCUCUAAAGCAAAAAGGCAGUCUUGCAGUUCUGCUGCAGGGGAGCUGAGGAGUCUUUCAGAAUCCCCAUUCUGUCCUUCCCUGUUUUCCCUGAUAAUUUCAUUUCUCUGCUUGAUACACAGUAUCUGAAUUGAGAUUGAUGCCAAGCGCCGUCCUAAGCCGUUGCUGUCUUCUGACCUAUCUGGCUUUCCUAGAUGAAAGAGAGGUGAUUGGCUUGUGUUCCCAGUACAUGCUUAUCCUGCACAACAAGGAGCCAAAUCACUGUCUUCCCAGUAGCCUCGGGACAUGGAGACAUAUUUUGCUUUGGGUAUUUUUUUGUUUUCUUAGGGCUGCACCUGCAGAAUGUGGAGAUUCUCAGGCUAGGGGUUGAAUCAGAGCUACAGCUGCCAGCCUACACCAGUCACGGCAACUUGGAAUCUGAGCCGGAUCUGACCUACACCACAGCUCAUGGCAAUGCCGGAUCCUUAACCCACUGAGUAAGGCCAGGGAUAGAACCUGUGUCCUCACGGAUGCUAGUCAGAUUCAUUUCCACUGAGCCACGACAGGAACUCUCAGACAUAGUUAUUGAUGCCAAAGAGAAGCUGUGGGAUUUGGAGGGAGACUGCCGAUUCAGGAAUAAAAUAAAAGGACAGAAUCAUUCUCUCUCUCUAUUUUUUUGGUCACAUCCGAGGCAUGCUGAAGUUCUCGGGUCAGGGGUCAGUCCCUCGCAACAGCAGUAACUAGAGCCACAGCAGUGACAGCGCCAAAUCCUUAACCUGCUGAGCCACCAGGGAACUCCCCAUUUUCCCUCUCUCUUGGAUCAGAAAUCGUACCCACCAUAGAAAAUCCUGGGUCAUCUGAAGAAAAAUACAAGGCCAUUUACUCACUUUUGAUCAAAUUCUAUGUAUUUAUUUCUCAAGGCAAUCUGGGUGAGAGUUGGAUUCUGGAUAUAAGGAUUAAGAAGUGUGUUUGAAUCCUGGCUCACAAUGGCUAUAACUGUGGGUAAGCUUUCCUUCAUUUGUGUAAAUGGAGAUAAUAUUAAUGGAUCAGUCUGACCUCCAUUCCACUCUGUGAAAAAAAUGCAAAAUGUUCUUUCGGCUUACUGCAGUCUUUCUCAAAAGGAAUCAAGGUAGGCAGACCGGGUAGGGCAGGGAGACUUGUCAUCGUGAUUAGGGGACCCAGGCUCUUUUCAGCCGUCCUCAUUGUGUGGCUUCCUCACUAUCCACAAACCUGCUUGGCCUCCUGCCAUGAUCUUUUCAUCCCAGCCAGCAAAGAGGAGGAAGGCAUUAGAAAACUCUUGUUCCUACCUUUAGAAAACAUGGAAGUCCAUACAGUUUGGUUUAAUCUCUGGCCAGAAUUUUGUUUUGUGGCCAUACCUCAAGAGAGACGGGAAAUGAAAUCUUUGUUGCAGGUGGUCAUGUGCUCAGCUGAGAAUGGAGGUGCUUUAUUCAGGAAGAAAGAACAAAUGUUAGACUCACUUCAUUAAAAAAUAACCGCCUUGUAGGGUUAUUUUGAGAAAUAAGCCAGUGCAUGAAAAACGCUAGCCCAAAGCCUGCAUAUAGUAAGACACUAUUAAUUGGCAACUGUUACUAUUACAGUAAAUAAAGUUCAGUUCAUGUUGCCUCCAUAGAGCCUUUAUUAAUCCCUUCCUUUCAAAUAUUAUUUCUCUGAAUUCAUAGUAUUUUAUUCUUAUUUUCUUUUAUGACAUUUGUUACUGCCUAUUUUUGAUUAGUGUAUGUCUUAAGCUGUUUCUUAUCACAGAACUUGACGCUUUCUGUGAUAAGAAAACUUUGUCUCCAAAAGAUGCAGGGGAAUAAAAGCUCACAUAAAUUGAAAAAAGUGCGGUUGUGGGACAAAGGCCACGGCACUUUCCCUUUCCUUAGUUCUCUCAGCUCUUUCCUUAGUUCUCUUAGCUCUUUUCUCCCAUGUGUCAGUCUUCUGAGGCUGCCCUCCCUCAUGGCCACAAGAUGGAUGAAAGCAGCCCCUGAGGUUACAGGUUCCCUUGCUCAUUCAUAUCAAAAAGAAUAAAUCUUUAAACAUGAAGUCGCUAGCUUUACUCCGGACCACACUGAACCAAACACAGUGGGCAGAGGAAACCACACAGCAAGUGGCUGGGACCUGCCCGUUUGAUAUAGCAAGAGCAUGAGAUUCCCUAUUGUGGAGCUGGAGGCAAGGUUGGUCGCAUUAGGACCACGUGGUUACUCUAAAGGGUGGUUUUCCAAAGCAAAAUUGGAGGGCAUUGGGUGUUGGGUAGGUAACCAGUGAGAGCCAAAAGUGUAAGCCUACUGAACAAAUAUCAGGCCAUCAGCUUUGUUGUCUUGUUUUCCAUAGCACCUUGCACCGUGGGUCGAUCAGCAUGUACUGUCCAAUAUUUACUGAAUUCAAGAAAGAAUAAGUUUGACAACAAACUGGCUGGCUGGCUGGCAGAGGAAGCAAGUUCCACUGUAAUUUACCAGUCAGCACAUAGAAUAGUUGAUAGCAGAUCCUUUCCAUGACUUAGUGGCAUAAAGUGGUAGGGGACAGAGCAGGAAGGAGAUGGCAACACAAAAGGAAACAAGAGGGGGUGGCCUGGUGCAGUCACCCGUCCUUGAAUGAACAAGGAGAAGCUGGGCCCCCAGGAAAAGAGCCUCAGGAAGAUCCGUGCUCUGGGUCCACCCACCCACUCCCUCCUGUGGACUGCCUAGUACUGGCGGGGUUUUGUUGUUUUGAACAUUAUGGGCUUGGAUAUAACGAAGCCUUGUUCCCAAACAUAUUAUGAUUUUGAGUUGCCCUUUUAGCUUCUAUUCACAGAAAAGGUCUCUUGACACUCCAGGGUGGGGCAGGGGAUGGGGGAAACUGGGGUUUUCUGAUCUUUUUUUUUUUUUUAAUGGUUUAAUAAAAAAAAGAACUUCCUCGGCAGAUGGAAGUUCUAGGGCUGGGGAAUGAAUCCAAAAUGUAGCUGCGUCUGCAAAGCAGGGUCCUUUAAUCCACUUCACCGGGCCAGGAUCAAACCUGUCUGUCCACAGCGACCUGAACUGCUGCAGUUGGGUUCUUAACCCACUGCCACACGGGAGCUCAUGAUCUUUCCACUGCUCUGAAGUUGUUUCUACCAGAGCUUCCACCCUGCCAGACUUUGGUGAGAAACCUACACUGCUUGCUGUCUCUUACUACCUCUUCUGAUUCUCCUGUACCAGCAGGUGAGCAGGUUCUCAUUGUUAGAGUGGUAUGCAUUUCACUUCUAGCAGGAAACACUAAUCUCAUCCAAACCUCCUCUGAAAUGCCUACCCUUGUCCCAACUACUGGGCAGGAAAUUUGAUCCCUCAUAGAUGGCAGCCCCAAACUACCUCCCUCUCUGUUCAUGAUGUCUUGGGAGUUUUAGCCAGUGGAAAACCACUACCCUUCCUCACCGUUUAAGACUUGACCAUUAUAGCGGAGGCUCCAUCCUCACCAAGAUAACAGAAAUGCUCACUUGGGUCACUACCUACUACCAACCAAGCAAUGCUCUGAUUGGUCCUCUUCCUAACUGGCUUUUCAGCCUUGGUUACCACCAGGGUGCUCUCCGCUGGCUCUCCUCCCCUCUCUGACUGUACCUUCUCACUAGUCAGUGGCAUGGAGGCAGAUGACCUUUAAAGUCACUGUCCCGAGGGCUUUGACCUCUUCCCCUGAACAUUCCAGAGCUAAUGGGGUGACCUCUCCAGCCCCUCCCAUGAGGCAUGUCUUCUUCCUGAGCCCUGGGCCCAAAUUUCCACUUAGACAUCCUGAACUGAGUUCCAUGUUGGCUCCCUCUGCCUGGGCCCCCUCCUCCCUGCCUUCACCUAGUCUUCUGGGUCAGUGCUCCCUCAGUCCCCGUUAGUCCCUGAAUUCCAUCACUUGUGGCAGCACUUGGACCUCAGAUCAGGCUCUCGUUGCUCCUCGUCAGGACUUGUGCCCUGCCUCUGAUGGGCAGCACUGCCUGCAACCUCUCCACACCCAAGCUUCUCCUCAGUGCUGCCAGGGGCCUCAGACACACCUCUUCCCGUCGCUACUGGACCCCAGCCAGGCUCCUGCACUGCCCGGUCUGACCUGCUCUCCUACCUCACUCCCCAUCCCCACACCCAUGGCCUGUGCUCCAACCUCGAUGAAGGUCCUGCUUUUAGAAUUUUCUGGGCCUUUUUGCACCCUAAGGCCGUGGCACAGAAUGCUUCCCUCCCUCCCACCUUCUCUUCCAGGAUACUCUGGAGUCCAAGGCAGGAGGCUCAACUAUUUUAAGGAAGGUCCCUUCAGCAGUCUGCUUGGAGGGGCGAUCUGGCUGUGGACUCACCUUCUUCAAUGUCCUGGAGGCCUCUCAGCCCAGAGGCUACCUUAUGGACUCUUGUCUUCCCAGCACCUAUUAUGUUCCUAGCAGGGAGCAGCUCCUUGAGUGUCCCAAAGCCAAAGCCCAUUUUCAUCGGCAGGAAUUCAGCCUGGACAAGAUGUUUCCCUGUCUCCAAUUCUAUUACCCCAUC